AGCACUACGCGCUUUAUUAUUAGGGGAGAUAUCUGAUAUGUGGGCCAUGUGCCCACAACAAUAUUAAAUUUAUUUUUUGUGGGGGAGGGCCCGCCACAGUGGCUUGCUGCUGGGGCCCUCGGGUGUCGCCCAGUGCGUUGCACUAUUGCCUCGGCAGGCGCACCCCAA
Molecule: small nucleolar RNA, 168 nt
Filed under: Hordeum vulgare
Lineage: Eukaryota; Viridiplantae; Streptophyta; Magnoliopsida; Poales; Poaceae
Description: U2 spliceosomal RNA
Rfam family: U2 spliceosomal RNA
About the family: U2 is a small nuclear RNA (snRNA) component of the spliceosome (involved in pre-mRNA splicing).
Source: RNAcentral